UGCGGGAUCGUCUAAUGGUAGGACGACAGUCUUUGGAUCUGUCUAUCUAGGUUCGAAUCCUAGUCCCGCAGCCA
RNAcentral lists this transfer RNA (74 nucleotides) under Candidatus Curtissbacteria bacterium. RNAcentral's name for it is "tRNA-Gln". It matches the Rfam family "tRNA". From Rfam's summary of the family: Transfer RNA (tRNA) molecules are approximately 80 nucleotides in length. Their secondary structure includes four short double-helical elements and three loops (D, anti-codon, and T loops). Lineage: Bacteria; Candidatus Curtissiibacteriota. The record is from RNAcentral.